AUCAACCAUCGAUGAAGCAUGAAGUUUCCAAGUGCAUUUUGGAUUAACACAACAACAAGUAUACUUAACACCAUCAUUUUUAAUCCUAUUUAACUCAAAACCCUCUUGGAUUGCAUAUUUCACCAUAACCUCUUUUAAUAAUGCAACAGAUUCAAAGGUAUUUCCUACUUUUAGACUAACUGAACCAUUUAGAUUUGGUUUCCACUCAUUAUCAACAAUGGAUUCAUACAUAUGUAAGAGACCAUUCUCUUCAUCAGAUAAGUGCCCUCCGAUAAAGCCAUCCUCACUAAGUUUUUCAAACUUAUCACUACCCAUACUAACACCUAUAUUGACAGGAUUUUCAGAUCCUAAUACAACACUUUCAUGGCAUGAUUGACCACCUAACCCAGUGUGCACCUCAAACUCAAUAACAUGACAACUAUUAGUAAAAAAUUCCUCAAAAACCGAAUACAAUUCACUAUCAUUUGAUAUUAGCUUCCUCUGCCUACUUGUAGUCCAUGGCAACACA
This 508-nucleotide long non-coding RNA is filed under the name Citrus sinensis (sweet orange). RNAcentral's name for it is "long non-coding RNA (CSIN_LNC005624)". Lineage: Eukaryota; Viridiplantae; Streptophyta; Magnoliopsida; Sapindales; Rutaceae. The record is from RNAcentral.